RNAcentral lists this ribosomal RNA (1085 nucleotides) under Pyrenophora seminiperda. RNAcentral's name for it is "LSU rRNA". It matches the Rfam family "Eukaryotic large subunit ribosomal RNA", at positions 22 to 1126 of the family's 3401-position model. The record is from RNAcentral. Lineage: Eukaryota; Fungi; Ascomycota; Dothideomycetes; Pleosporales; Pleosporaceae.
UACCCGCUGAACUUAAGCAUAUCAAUAAGCGGAGGAAAAGAAACCAACAGGGAUUGCCCUAGUAACGGCGAGUGAAGCGGCAACAGCUCAAAUUUGAAAUCUGGCUCUUUCAGAGUCCGAGUUGUAAUUUGCAGAGGGCGCUUUGGCUUUGGCAGCGGUCCAAGUUCCUUGGAACAGGACGUCACAGAGGGUGAGAAUCCCGUACGUGGUCGCUAGCUAUUGCCGUGUAAAGCCCCUUCGACGAGUCGAGUUGUUUGGGAAUGCAGCUCUAAAUGGGAGGUAAAUUUCUUCUAAAGCUAAAUACUGGCCAGAGACCGAUAGCGCACAAGUAGAGUGAUCGAAAGAUGAAAAGCACUUUGGAAAGAGAGUCAAACAGCACGUGAAAUUGUUGAAAGGGAAGCGCUUGCAGCCAGACUUGCUUGCAGUUGCUCAUCCGGGCUUUUGCCCGGUGCACUCUUCUGCAGGCAGGCCAGCAUCAGUUUGGGCGGUGGGAUAAAGGUCUCUGUCACGUACCUCUCUUCGGGGAGGCCUUAUAGGGGAGGCGACAUACCACCAGCCUGGACUGAGGUCCGCGCAUCUGCUAGGAUGCUGGCGUAAUGGCUGUAAGCGGCCCGUCUUGAAACACGGACCAAGGAGUCUAACAUCUAUGCGAGUGUUUGGGUGUCAAGCCCGAACGCGUAAUGAAAGUGAACGGAGGUGGGAACCCGCAAGGGUGCACCAUCGACCGAUCCUGAUGUCUUCGGAAGGAUUUGAGUAAGAGCAUGGCUGUUGGGACCCGAAAGAUGGUGAACUAUGCUUGAAUAGGGUGAAGCCAGAGGAAACUCUGGUGGAGGCUCGCAGCGGUUCUGACGUGCAAAUCGAUCGUCAAAUUUGGGCAUAGGGGCGAAAGACUAAUCGAACUAUCUAGUAGCUGGUUCCUGCCGAAGUUUCCCUCAGGAUAGCAGUAACGUAUUCAGUUUUAUGAGGUAAAGCGAAUGAUUAGAGGCCUGGGGGUUGAAACAACCUUCACCUAUUCUCAAACUUUAAAUAUGUAAGAAGUGUUUGUUGCUUAAUUGAACGUACACAUUUGAAUGAAACGUUAUUAG